Molecule: ribosomal RNA, 444 nt
Filed under: uncultured bacterium
Lineage: Bacteria
Description: partial 16S ribosomal RNA
Rfam family: Bacterial small subunit ribosomal RNA
Source: RNAcentral
AGCCAGACUCCUACGGGAGGCAGCAGUGGGGAAUAUUGCACAAUGGGGGAAACCCUGAUGCAGCGACGCCGCGUGAGCGAUGAAGUAUUUCGGUAUGUAAAGCUCUAUCAGCAGGGAAGAAGAUGACGGUACCUGGCUAAGAAGCCCCGGCUAACUACGUGCCAGCAGCCGCGGUAAUACGUAGGGGGCAAGCGUUAUCCGGAUUUACUGGGUGUAAAGGGAGCGUAGACGGCGAUGCAAGCCAGAUGUGAAAGCCCGGGGCUCAACCCCGGGACUGCAUUUGGAACUGUGUGGCUGGAGUGUCGGAGAGGCAGGCGGAAUUCCUAGUGUAGCGGUGAAAUGCGUAGAUAUUAGGAGGAACACCAGUGGCGAAGGCGGCCUGCUGGACGAUGACUGACGUUGAGGCUCGAAAGCGUGGGGAGCAAACAGGAUUAGAUACCCGAG